GUGGCCGCGAAGAACGGUUAUCGCGAUGUCUGCACCCUCCUUCUGAACGCUGGUGCUUCUUUGCAAUUGGUCGAUAAGGACGGAGACACACCCUUACAUUGCGCGGCAUACGGCAAUCAGCCGGAGAUAGUGGAUUUACUGUUAUCGCGAGGCGCAGUCGUCGAUGUCGUCAACAACGUCAGACGUAGUGCUCUGCACAUAGCCGCGCUGAAAGGUCAGCGCGAACUUUGCGCCCUCCUUCUGGACGCUGGUGCUUUUUUGCAUUUGGUUGACGAGGACGAAGAUACACCAUUACAUUUCGCGGCAUACGACAAUCGGACGGAGAUAACGGAUCUGCUGUUAUCGCGAGGCGCUUCCGUUGAUGCCGUUGACAAUUACGGACGUAGUGCUCUGCAUAUCGCCGCGGAGAACAGUCAGCGUGAACUCUGCACCCUCCUUCUAGACGCUGGU
This is a long non-coding RNA of Wasmannia auropunctata (little fire ant), 450 nucleotides long. RefSeq lists it as uncharacterized. NCBI's taxonomy places the organism in Eukaryota, Metazoa, Arthropoda, Insecta, Hymenoptera, Formicidae. The record is from RefSeq and is a predicted model, not a curated record. The transcript is spliced from 3 exons.